AGAGUGAUACCCUAUCUCAAGAAAAGAAAUAGUUACUUAUUUCAUUCUGAUCACAUUUUCCAGUACAAAUACAUGGAGGUCCCAAGUGCCAAAGUUACAAAAAAAAAAAACAGUUUCUGUUCAGUUUUGGAAGACAUGUAGGGACUUUUUCUUUAAACACUUUGGACCAAGUUGGGGAGUUAGCCUGCAUUGAGGGAGGUGACCCAGUUGCUAAGAGACUGGGAGGCCAGCCAGGGAUGAAAACUUUGCCUGUAUAAUCUGUGGUCACCACUGGGUGCCUGGGAGUUACCCACGGUGGACAAAGGGCAAGAGCGCUGGUUUUGGAGUCAGAUAGAUGUGCUCUGCCCUCCCGCCUCCAGGGCUGGGCUCCCAGGUUGGCUGUGGAUCCAGAGAGUUGUGAGGGAGAGGUAAAAUGUGUGUGAAAGUUCUUGGUAAACACCCAGCCACUAUAUAUUAUGAGUGGUAG
Molecule: long non-coding RNA, 466 nt
Filed under: Homo sapiens (human)
Lineage: Eukaryota; Metazoa; Chordata; Mammalia; Primates; Hominidae
Description: HSALNT0003524
Source: RNAcentral